RNAcentral lists this ribosomal RNA (450 nucleotides) under uncultured bacterium. RNAcentral's name for it is "bacterial SSU rRNA". It matches the Rfam family "Bacterial small subunit ribosomal RNA", at positions 354 to 796 of the family's 1533-position model. The record is from RNAcentral.
GUGGGGAAUUUUGGACAAUGGGCGCAAGCCUGAUCCAGCCAUUCCGCGUGCAGGAUGAAGGCCUUCGGGUUGUAAACUGCUUUUGUACGGAACGAAAAGCCUCUGGUUAAUACCCGGGGGUCAUGACGGUACCGUAAGAAUAAGCACCGGCUAACUACGUGCCAGCAGCCGCGGUAAUACGUAGGGUGCGAGCGUUAAUCGGAAUUACUGGGCGUAAAGCGUGCGCAGGCGGUGAUGUAAGACAGUUGUGAAAUCCCCGGGCUCAACCUGGGAACUGCAUCUGUGACUGCAUUGCUGGAGUGCGGCAGAGGGGGAUGGAAUUCCGCGUGUAGCAGUGAAAUGCGUAGAUAUGCGGAGGAACACCGAUGGCGAAGGCAAUCCCCUGGGCCUGCACUGACGCUCAUGCACGAAAGCGUGGGGAGCAAACAGGAUUAGAAACCCGAGUAGUCC